AGAGUGUUGGGUUAAGUCCCGUAGCGAGCGCAACCCUUGUCCUUAGUUACCAGCACGUUAUGGUGGGCACUCUAAGGAGACUGCCGGUGACAAACCGGAGGAAGGUGGGGAUGACGUCAAGUCAUCAUGGCCCUUACGGCCUGGGCUACACACGUGCUACAAUGGUCGGUACAAAGGGUUGCCAAGCCGCGAGGUGGAGCUAAUCCCAUAAAACCGAUCGUAGUCCGGAUCGCAGUCUGCAACUCGACUGCGUGAAGUCGGAAUCGCUAGUAAUCGUGAAUCAGAAUGUCACGGUGAAUACGUUCCCGGGCCUU
Molecule: ribosomal RNA, 314 nt
Filed under: uncultured Pseudomonas sp.
Lineage: Bacteria; Pseudomonadati; Pseudomonadota; Gammaproteobacteria; Pseudomonadales; Pseudomonadaceae
Description: bacterial SSU rRNA
Rfam family: Bacterial small subunit ribosomal RNA
Source: RNAcentral